GAAAUGCGAUAAGUAAUGUGGAUUGCAGAAUUCAGUGAAUCAUCGAAUCUUUGAACGCACCUUGCGCUCCUUGGUAUUCCUUGGAGCAUGCCUGUUUGAGUAUCAUGAAAUCUUCAAAGUAAAUCUUUUGUUAACUCAAUUGGUUUCUACUUUGGUAUUGGAGGUCUUUGCAGCUUCACACCUGCUCCUCUUUGUUCAUUAGCUGGAUCUCAGUGUUAUGCUUGGUUCCACUCGGCGUGAUAAGUUAUCUAUCGCUGAGGACACUGUAAAAGGUGGCCAAGGUAAAUGCAGAUGAACCGCUUCUAAUAGUCCAUUGACUUGGACAAUACUUUUAUGAUCUGAUCUCAAAUAAGGUAGGACUACCCGCUGAACUUAAGC
RNAcentral lists this unclassified non-coding RNA (378 nucleotides) under plant metagenome. RNAcentral describes it as "partial contains 5.8S ribosomal RNA, internal transcribed spacer 2, and large subunit ribosomal RNA". The stretch from base 1 to 105 matches the Rfam family "5.8S ribosomal RNA", at positions 50 to 154 of the family's 154-position model. The record is from RNAcentral.